RNAcentral lists this transfer RNA (84 nucleotides) under Verrucomicrobia bacterium ADurb.Bin474. RNAcentral describes it as "tRNA-Leu". It matches the Rfam family "tRNA". Rfam says of the family: Transfer RNA (tRNA) molecules are approximately 80 nucleotides in length. Lineage: Bacteria; Pseudomonadati; Verrucomicrobiota. The record is from RNAcentral. RNAcentral also lists the same sequence under 1 other name.
GCUCAGAUGGUGGAAUGGUAGACACGUACGCUUGAGGGGCGUAUGCCGCAAGGUGUGGGGGUUCGAGUCCCCCUCUGAGCACCA